GGACAAUUAGCUCAGUUGGUUUAGAGCGCUGCCUUCACACGGCAGAGGUCACAAGUUCAAAUCUUGUAUUGUCCA
RNAcentral lists this transfer RNA (75 nucleotides) under Candidatus Fibrimonadales bacterium. RNAcentral's name for it is "tRNA-Val". It matches the Rfam family "tRNA". From Rfam's summary of the family: Transfer RNA (tRNA) molecules are approximately 80 nucleotides in length. Lineage: Bacteria; Pseudomonadati; Fibrobacterota; Fibrobacteria; Candidatus Fibrimonadales. The record is from RNAcentral. RNAcentral also lists the same sequence under 2 other names.